CCUGCUCUGUCUAAUUCACAGACGGACGUUCUCUCCCUUUCCCUCUCCCUCUCCCUCUCCCUCUUUAUUCUCUCCCUUCUUUCGUCUUCUCUGCUAUUCUCUCUUCAUUUUUCCUCUGUUUUCCUUUUCUCUCUCUAACGUACAUAUUCUUCUCCUCUCUCUCUCACUCUCACUCUCAUCGAGUUCCUAUUUCUCUCCCGCCGUAACCUCCUCUCGAUUUUCUCUGGGACUCUAUCUUCCAGAAAUCCUGUAUCAGAGCGACAGUCCAGAUUGGGGCUUUCGGAAAGUGCAGAUGGUAUAAAGCAUUGGGCAUAUGGAGUUGACUUUGUGGGGAUAUUCCUAAUGAUUUGAAUUUCUGUUUGAAUGGGAUUAUGUGGCCAGAUCGAACUCCUCAUCCUGCAAUACAUGAAGUUAAGUAUCUCUAUCAACCGAUCAAGGUUUCAUUAGAGAAGGGAACACUUAAGAUAACAAACACCCAAUUUUUUGAAACAACAGAAGGAUUGGAAUUCAGCUGGCCUGCUAAUGGGGAUGGAUGUGAACUUGGAACUGGAGUUUUAUCUCUUUCACUGAUAGAGCCACAGAGCAGUUUUGGUAUUGGAUGGAAGUCGGGUCCAUGAUCAAAAUUGUGCAUCUUGUGAGAUUGAGAUUAUAAAGAAUGCAUUGCAGAUCAAAACCCGGCCCGUUGACAAGAAUGUAUUGCAUUCUUUCAAUAAAUUUGGUUCUUUCUCUGAUAGAUUUGUUUGUCAUCUCUUGAUGAAAAUUACAAUCAUUAUGUUAGGUUUUUCAUGUGAGAUCUUGAUUAGUGUUUCUGUCAGUUAGGGACCCAAAAUAAUGAUGUGUCCUAUAAUGUUCAUGUUUGAGUAAUAAACAGCAGACAGGAAAACUAAAGAAAAUUAUUCUUAUUAUGUUGGUGUCCAUUUACUUUUUGUGAAGCAUGUGAUUAAGGACGUAUG
This is an RNA transcript of Alnus glutinosa, 953 nucleotides long. RefSeq lists it as uncharacterized. The transcript is spliced from 6 exons. NCBI's taxonomy places the organism in Eukaryota, Viridiplantae, Streptophyta, Magnoliopsida, Fagales, Betulaceae. The record is from RefSeq and is a predicted model, not a curated record.